Molecule: non-coding RNA, 161 nt
Filed under: human gut metagenome
Description: Lysine riboswitch
Rfam family: Lysine riboswitch aptamer
About the family: Riboswitches are metabolite binding domains within certain messenger RNAs that serve as precision sensors for their corresponding targets. Allosteric rearrangement of mRNA structure is mediated by ligand binding, and this results in modulation of gene expression. This family includes riboswitches that sense lysine in a number of genes involved in lysine metabolism, including lysC.
Source: RNAcentral
ACGGUAGAGGUGCAUUGUGUCAAGAGUACCGCGGAUGUAAAAGGGGUGACUUCCCGUUGUCCGCAGGAAAGGGGCAGGUGCCGAGGGCAGGCUGUUGUCAGGUCUGUACUGGUUUGGGCGAAUAAGAUCGCUCCGACUGUCGCUUUUGCGGAGAGCUAUCA